RNAcentral lists this unclassified non-coding RNA (352 nucleotides) under soil metagenome. Its description in RNAcentral is "partial contains 5.8S ribosomal RNA, internal transcribed spacer 2, and large subunit ribosomal RNA". The stretch from base 1 to 120 matches the Rfam family "5.8S ribosomal RNA", at positions 35 to 154 of the family's 154-position model. The record is from RNAcentral.
GAUGAAGAACGUAGUGAAAUGCGAUAAGUAAUGUGAAUUGCAGAAUUCAGUGAAUCAUCGAAUCUUUGAACGCACAUUGCGCCAGCCAGUACUCUGGCGGGCAUGCCUGUUCGAGCGUCAUUACAACCCUCAGGCCCCCGGGCCUGGCGUUGGGGAUCGGCGGAGCCCCCCGUGGGCACACGCCGUCCCCCAAAUACAGUGGCGGUCCCGCCGCAGCUUCCAUCGCGUAGUAGCUAACACCUCGCGCCUGGAGAGCGGCGCGGCCACGCCGUAAAACACCCAACUCUUCUGAAGUUGACCUCGAAUCAGGUAGGAAUACCCGCUGAACUUAAGCAUAUCAAUAAGCGGAGGA